RNA transcript from Mandrillus leucophaeus (drill), 1272 nucleotides. RefSeq lists it as uncharacterized. The transcript has a single exon. NCBI's taxonomy places the organism in Eukaryota, Metazoa, Chordata, Mammalia, Primates, Cercopithecidae. The record is from RefSeq and is a predicted model, not a curated record.
CAGUCCUUGCACAUAAAGGCAAAGAGGAAAAAUUAGACGACGGUAGGGACGACCUAUUAACGUCUGCUUUUCCCUCUGCUAAAUGGGAAGACAACAAAGGCCGCUCCACCUUUCACCUGACUGCCACUCAUCACGCACUUCAGCAUAGCUGCCAUACGCUCUAAAAAGCAGGCCCGGAAGGCGCGCCUCAGCUCGACGGCCCAGGUGCCCGGAUGUUGCCCGCGCUUUUCGAAGCUUCGCGAUCUUGUCUCUGCACUCCACCACCCCGCCUCCACAAGUUCCCAAACUGCUUUACAGCGGAGAAGGGCCCGUGCGGGCCUCCGUACGGCAGUUUCUGUCGCCCUCUGUGCUCAUUGGUUGCGGUUAAGUAGGCGGGUCGCCGAGGGGCCUGAGGAAGAGGGCGGCGGCGGCGGUGGUGGUGACUGAGCGGAGCCCGGUGACAGGAUGGUGAGGGCUGCAGCUGUGGCGACAGAGGCCUGGCUCUCGGCUGGGGUGCUGCGUUGUUGGGAGCUGUGGGGAGUCCCAGGAGGAGGGAUUGGGAAAUCCCGGAGGCCUCGGCGUCAGGGCCCACGCGCUGGCCUGGGAAAGGCCCAGGAAGAGCGCUAGGGAAGGAAGGGAGCGGCCACCUCUGGGUGCGGCUGGCCUAGGUCUCGUAUCCCGGCCCCAAGGGGCCAGAGGCCAUCCAAGGAGUAAAAAGGCCCAUCUAAGCUGCCCGACCUGUCACGAGACCCGCACUCCCGAGCCAGGGAAGGCCAUUGAUUCUAUACCUCGAGUGUUCCGGGGAUAGGGGCACGGUCCUCCUCUGUUUCCAGACGUUUCCUACUCCUUUCCCGCAAAAAGCAUCUCCCGCUGGUUGGGGUGUAGUGGUGGAAGCUGGCCUCUCGAAUGCAGAACGGGAAGUAGCGAGCAGAAUUUCGUACCCGUUUAAGUUUCCCAUCUAGGGAAAGGGAAUAAACGACCCUUUUCGCCCCUGAAAUAACAUCCAGCUGCCAUUGAAAUGAACAGGUGUGCGCUCAGAGGGCGGGAUUUGGCGCUUGCAAUUGCUGGAGCUACUUCUUUCCACGGGUUGCUACGCCCCUUUAGGGUAGGAUUCCUUAAUGAUGUGUGAACUCCUUGAAAUUGUUAGGAAAUUUUUAUGAAUAUAUACAUUUUUUUCUGGGGAGAAUGCCGGUGUUGGAGACUUGCCUAGUCUCCAGCCACCUUCAAGCAAUCACCCCUUCACUCCCAGUAGGUUGGUGCCCCUCAGACCUUCCUACAUAAAAAUUGGGGGCC